UACUGCUCAGUAACACGUGGCUAAUCUGCCCUUAGGACGCGAACAACCCCGGGAAACUGGGGCUAAUUCUCGAUAGGUGAAGAACUCUGGAAUGAGUCUUUGCCUAAAAGAGCUUACGUUAUGCUCGUAAGUUUCACCUAAGGAUGAGGCCGCGACCGAUCAGGUAGUUGGUGAGGCAAUGGCUCACCAAGCCUUUAACCGGUGCGGGCCGUGGGAGCGGGAGCCCGGAGAUGGGCACUGAGACAAGGGCCCAGGCCCUACGGGGCGCAGCAGUCGCGAAAACUUUGCAAUAAGCGAAAGCUUGACAGGGCUAUCCCGAGUGCCAUCCGCUGAGGAAGGCUUUUACCCAGUCUAGUAAGCUGGGGGAAUAAGGAGAGGGCAAGUCUGGUGUCAGCCGCCGCGGUAAUACCAGCUCUCCGAGUGGUGUGGAUGUUUAUUGGGCCUAAAGCAUCCGUAGCUGGCUGAGUUAGUCCCCUGUUAAAUCCACCGAAUCAAUCGUUGGAUUGCGGGGGAUACUGCUCGGCUAGGGGACGGGAGAGGCAGACGGUAUUUCCGGGGUAAGGGUGAAAUCUUAUAAUCCCGGGAAGACCACCAGUGGCGAAGGCUGUCUGCUAGAACGCGCCCGACGGUGAGGGAUGAAAGCUGGGGUAGCGAACCGGAUUAGAUACCCGGGUAGUCCCAGCCGUAAACGAUGCAGGCUAGGUGUUUGGGCGGCCACGUGCCGCUCUAGUGCCGCAGGGAAGCUGUUAAGCCUGCCGCCUGGGGAGUACGAUCGCAAGAUUGAAACUUAAAGGAAUUGGCGGGGGAGCACAAUCA
This 816-nucleotide ribosomal RNA is filed under the name uncultured archaeon. RNAcentral's name for it is "bacterial SSU rRNA". It matches the Rfam family "Archaeal small subunit ribosomal RNA", at positions 84 to 884 of the family's 1478-position model. The record is from RNAcentral.